GACGGAGGAUGCAAGUGUUAUCCGGAAUCACUGGGCGUAAAGCGUCUGUAGGUGGUUCGAAAAGUCCACUGUUAAAAAUUGAGGCUUAACUUCAAAGAUGCCGUGGAAACUUUCAAACUAGAGUAUGGUAGGGGUAGAGGGAAUUUCCAGUGGAGCGGUGAAAUGCGUAGAUAUUGGAAAGACCACCGAUGGCGAAGGCACUCUACUGGGCCACUACUGACACUGAGAGACGAAAGCCAGGGGAGCGAACGGG
Molecule: ribosomal RNA, 253 nt
Filed under: uncultured bacterium
Lineage: Bacteria
Description: partial 16S ribosomal RNA
Rfam family: Bacterial small subunit ribosomal RNA
Source: RNAcentral